This 361-nucleotide RNase P RNA is filed under the name Nitrospirae bacterium CG2_30_53_67. RNAcentral describes it as "RNase P RNA component class A". It matches the Rfam family "Bacterial RNase P class A". From Rfam's summary of the family: Ribonuclease P (RNase P) is a ubiquitous endoribonuclease, found in archaea, bacteria and eukarya as well as chloroplasts and mitochondria. Its best characterised activity is the generation of mature 5'-ends of tRNAs by cleaving the 5'-leader elements of precursor-tRNAs. Cellular RNase Ps are ribonucleoproteins. Lineage: Bacteria; Pseudomonadati; Nitrospirota. The record is from RNAcentral. RNAcentral also lists the same sequence under 5 other names.
CAAGCAGAUCGGGUAAUCGCCCCGGUUUUACCGGGGAGGAAAGUCCGGGCUCCACAGGGCAGGAUGCUUCCUAACGGGAAGUCUCGGUGACGGGAAGGAAAGUGCAACAGAAAAUACACAGCCCCGGCUUGGUCCGGGGUAAAGGUGAAAUGGCGGGGUAAGAGCCCACCGGUGUCCGGGUGACCGGGCAGCCUGGCAAACCCCAUCCGGAGCAAGACCAAAUAGGGAGGCGCUUGAGGGUGGCCCGCCCGAUGCCUCCGGGUUAGGUCGCUUGACCCUGAUGGCGACAUCAGGGCUAGAGGAAUGAUUACCAUCCCAUGAAAAUGGGAUACAGAACCCGGCUUAUAGAUCUGCUUGGGAC